This 253-nucleotide ribosomal RNA is filed under the name uncultured bacterium. RNAcentral's name for it is "partial 16S ribosomal RNA". It matches the Rfam family "Bacterial small subunit ribosomal RNA", at positions 524 to 776 of the family's 1533-position model. The record is from RNAcentral.
UACGAAGGGUGCAAGCGUUACUCGGCAUUACUGGGCGUAAAGCGUGCGUAGGUGGUUGUUUACGUCUGCUGUGAAAGCCCUGGGCUCACCCUGGGAAUUGCAGUGGAUACUGGGCGACUAGAGUGUGGUAGAGGACAGUGGAAUUUCCGGUGUAGCAGGGAAAGGCGUAGAGAUCGGAAGGAACACCCGUGGCGAAGGCGACUGUCUGGGCCAACACUGACACUGAGGCACGAAAGCGUGGGGAGCAAACAGG